ACGACUACAUAUCAGGCAUAUCAAUAAGCGGAGGAAAAGAAACUAACAAGGAUUCCCUUAGUAACGGCGAGUGAAGCGGGAAGAGCUCAAAUUUGAAAUCUUAAAGGGUUCUACCUUGACGAAUUGUAGUUUAAAGAAGUGCUUUCCUGUAGUGGAGUUCGGUAAAAGUUCUUUGGAAUAGGACAUCAUAGAGGGUGAGAAUCCCGUAUUUGACCGUUACUUUCCAGCUGUGUGAUACACUUUCAAAGAGUCGGAUUGUUUGGGUAAUGCAGUCCAAAAUGGGUGGUAAAUUUCAUCUAAAGCUAAAUAUUGGCGAGAGACCGAUAGCGAACAAGUACCGUGAGGGAAAGAUGAAAAGAACUUUGAAAAGAGAGUUAAACAGUACGUGAAAUUGUCAAAAGGGAAGCGUUUGACACCAGUGUUGUUUUUCGAAAAUCAAUUCAAGAGUGGUUUGAUUCUAGUAGUAUCGACCUUCAUCAGCCUUCUUCACUUCUUCUCGAGAUUAUUGAAUGCACUUUUCAGGUUAACAAGUCAACAUCAAUUUCUUUUGUUGUAAAAGGGUAUUUGGAAGGUGGCUUUCUUUUCGGAGAAAGUGUUUAUAGCCUUAUACCUCUACAAUCGGAGAGAUUGAGGUCUGCAGCGUAGAUCCUUCGGGGCUAGAUACACUUGUGCUAAGUUAUAGCUUUUCAUAGACAACUUGUUGACUAUGUUUAGUCAUGUAGCUUACCCGCUUGUGCUAUUUUACCUACGCUUAGGAUGUUGAUCUACAGAGCGAGAGU
RNAcentral lists this ribosomal RNA (779 nucleotides) under uncultured Neocallimastigales. Its description in RNAcentral is "partial large subunit ribosomal RNA". It matches the Rfam family "Eukaryotic large subunit ribosomal RNA", at positions 24 to 634 of the family's 3401-position model. The record is from RNAcentral. Lineage: Eukaryota; Fungi; Neocallimastigomycota; Neocallimastigomycetes; Neocallimastigales.